Molecule: small RNA, 493 nt
Filed under: Pongo abelii (Sumatran orangutan)
Lineage: Eukaryota; Metazoa; Chordata; Mammalia; Primates; Hominidae
Description: retained intron
Source: RNAcentral
UAUGAAUGGGUCUAACAAAGCUUUUGACCCAGAGUGCCCUCCUGAAAAUAAAUGCCAGUUCCUUCCUUUCAGUUUUUUGAUCGUCUAAAGCUCUUUGGGAUGCCCGCAAAGCACCAGCCAGAUUUCAUCUACCUGCGGCAUGUGCCGCUGCGCAAAGUGCACCUCUUCACCCUCAUCCAGUUGACCUGUCUCGUCCUGCUCUGGGUCAUCAAGGCAUCUCCAGCUGCCAUUGUUUUCCCAAUGAUGGUUUUGGCCUUGGUCUUUGUCAGGAAAGUCAUGGAUCUCUGUUUCUCUAAGCGAGAGCUAAGCUGGUUAGAUGAUCUCAUGCCUGAAAGCAAAAAGAAGAAGUUGGAUGAUGCCAAAAAGAAGGCCAAGGAGGAAGAGGUCAUAGUCCUUGCACCAACUGUAUACCUGGGGGCCUCAAAUUACAGAACAUAGGAAGGGCCAUGUGAAAAGUCAGCAUGUCUGGAAUCCCGAGGGUUAUAUUUAGGAG